UGUAACGUCAGCAGCACAUACAGUAUACUAAAACUGGAACAAUACAGAGAAGAUUAGCAUGGCCCCUGGGCAAGGAUGGCAUGCAAAUUUGUGAAGUGCUCCAUAUUUUC
Molecule: small nuclear RNA, 110 nt
Organism: Candoia aspera
Lineage: Eukaryota; Metazoa; Chordata; Lepidosauria; Squamata; Candoiidae
Source: RefSeq, a predicted model, not a curated record